This 391-nucleotide ribosomal RNA is filed under the name Arion subfuscus. RNAcentral describes it as "partial 16S ribosomal RNA". It matches the Rfam family "Bacterial large subunit ribosomal RNA", at positions 1851 to 2600 of the family's 2925-position model. Lineage: Eukaryota; Metazoa; Mollusca; Gastropoda; Stylommatophora; Arionidae. The record is from RNAcentral.
AGUUAAGCCUGCCCGGUGAAAUUGGUUUAACGGCCGCAGUACUUUGACUGUGCUAAGGUAGCAAAAUAAAUUGGCUUUUAAUUUAAGUCGAGUAUGAAUGGCAUCAUGGGUGUAAGCUGUCUCAGUUACUUAAUUUUAUGAAUUUAACUGGUAGGUGAAAACGCCUACUGAUUAAUAUUAGACGAGAAGACCCUUAGAGUUUUAAAUAUAUAGUAUUAAUUACUCAUUCUUUUUUGUUGGGGCGACAAAGUAUCAUAUAAAGCAUACUUAAAUAAAUUUUAAGACAAGUCUUCCUUAAAAAUGAGUAUAACUACCUAAGGGAUAACAGCAUAAUUUUUUUUAAGAUUGUGACCUCGAUGUUGGACUAGGGACUUAAUAUAUUAGCCAUACA